CAGUAGCCGCGGUAAUACGAAGGGGGCUAGCGUUGUUCGGAUUUACUGGGCGUAAAGCGCACGUAGGCGGACUUUUAAGUCAGGGGUGAAAUCCCGGGGCUCAACCCCGGAACUGCCUUUGAUACUGGAAGUCUUGAGUAUGGUAGAGGUGAGUGGAAUUCCGAGUGUAGAGGUGAAAUUCGUAGAUAUUCGGAGGAACACCAGUGGCGAAGGCGGCUCACUGGACCAUUACUGACGCUGAGGUGCGAAAGCGUGGGGAGCAAACAGGAUUAGAGACCCCCGUAGUCCCUGUCUCUUAUAC
RNAcentral lists this ribosomal RNA (301 nucleotides) under uncultured bacterium. RNAcentral describes it as "partial 16S ribosomal RNA". It matches the Rfam family "Bacterial small subunit ribosomal RNA", at positions 509 to 807 of the family's 1533-position model. The record is from RNAcentral.